GGAGCUUUGGCCGAGCGGUCUAAGGCGCCAGCUUAAGGCGCUGGUUCGAAAGAGCGGGGGUUCGAAUCCCCCAGGCUUCA
Molecule: transfer RNA, 80 nt
Rfam family: tRNA
About the family: Transfer RNA (tRNA) molecules are approximately 80 nucleotides in length. Their secondary structure includes four short double-helical elements and three loops (D, anti-codon, and T loops).
Source: Rfam